GCUACGGGCUCCUUCAGAGUACAGAAGUCUAUUUUUAAUCAGUUUUGGUUAGUUUUUUUUUACGUGGUGGCUUAAGUAAUGUGGCAUGCUUCGGUCACGAAGACCUCUCGAAAAAUUUAGACGGGGGUGACCAUAAAAUUCUUCACAAACUUGUGGAAAUGGGGUGUAACAUGAUGCCUGGAUCCCAAAUCGAAAACACAAGGAAGAGCAUCGGUAAAUGGUUGCUGGUCAGAAUAAUGGAACCACAAUUUUAUAAAGAAAAUGUGUCAAGAAAUUAGCAAUUAUUUGUCUCGAUUUGUACUGCAGACUUGAGUGACAACUCAGGAGUUCAGUCUUGAGUCCUAUGGACUAUUUUUUAUGGAGUACCCGGUAUUUUAUACAAACAAAAGCCAAUUACGACAAAUGAAUGCGGCACUGAAUCCAAGAUGGAGUUAAUUUCCUUAAGGAAAGUCAGUAUUGCAAUAAUUGUGUGCGCUUACUUUACUAAGCUGAAGAAUUAACCAUAAAAAAUUGUUUUCGUUGUUAAUUACAAAUUAAUA
Cylas formicarius (sweet potato weevil) is the source of this 539-nucleotide long non-coding RNA. RefSeq lists it as uncharacterized. NCBI's taxonomy places the organism in Eukaryota, Metazoa, Arthropoda, Insecta, Coleoptera, Brentidae. The transcript has 3 exons. The record is from RefSeq and is a predicted model, not a curated record.